UGAUAGCUCAGUCGGUAGAGCAAAGGACUGAAAAUCCUUGUGUCACUGGUUCGAUUCCAGUUCA
Molecule: transfer RNA, 64 nt
Filed under: human gut metagenome
Also listed under: 1 other name
Rfam family: tRNA
About the family: Transfer RNA (tRNA) molecules are approximately 80 nucleotides in length. Their secondary structure includes four short double-helical elements and three loops (D, anti-codon, and T loops). Further hydrogen bonds mediate the characteristic L-shaped molecular structure. tRNAs have two regions of fundamental functional importance: the anti-codon, which is responsible for specific mRNA codon recognition, and the 3' end, to which the tRNAs corresponding amino acid is attached (by aminoacyl-tRNA synthetases). tRNAs cope with the degeneracy of the genetic code in two manners: having more than one tRNA (with a specific anti-codon) for a particular amino acid; and 'wobble' base-pairing, i.e. permitting non-standard base-pairing at the 3rd anti-codon position.
Source: RNAcentral